RNAcentral lists this ribosomal RNA (574 nucleotides) under uncultured bacterium. RNAcentral describes it as "partial 16S ribosomal RNA". It matches the Rfam family "Bacterial small subunit ribosomal RNA", at positions 355 to 925 of the family's 1533-position model. The record is from RNAcentral.
CUAAGAAUAUUCCGCAAUGGACGGAAGUCUGGCGGAGCGACGCCGCGUGGAUGAAGAAGGCCGAAAGGUUGUAAAGUUCUUUUGCUGGGGAAGAAUAACCGCAGGAGGGAAUGCCUGUGGGAUGACAAGAACCGGCGAAUAAGCCCCGGCCAACUACGUGCCAGCAGCCGCGGUAACACGUAGGGGGCGAGCGUUGUUCGGAAUUACUGGGCGUAAAGGGCAUGUAGGCGGCUUGGAAAGCCUGGCGUGAAAGUCUGCAGCUUAACUGCAGGGGUGCGCUGGGAACUGCUGAGCUUGAGUGACGGAGAGGGAGCUGGAAUUCCUGGUGUAGGGGUGAAAUCUGUAGAUAUCAGGAAGAACACCGAUGGCGAAGGCAAGCUCCUGGCCGAUGACUGACGCUGAGGUGCGAAAGUGUGGGGAUCAAACAGGAUUAGAUACCCUGGUAGUCCACACAGUCAACGAUGUGCACUAGGUGCUGGGGCGGUAGCUUCGGUGCCGGAGCGAACGUGGUAAGUGCACCGCCUGGGGAGUAUGCUCGCAAGGGUGAAACUCAAUGAAUUGACGGGGGUCAUGA